AGAAAAAUAUGAGGGUGUGGUUUGCUGGGAACAGCGUCCGCCGCAGGUAUUUUUCACCCAUGUCUUUUGCGCACUUUUUGUUUCCUGGGCGAGUUCGCUCGCCACCAGGACCCCACCAUAAACCUUUUUUUAUGCAGUUGCAAUCAGCGUCAGUAUAAUAAUUCAAUUUAUUAAAACUUUCAACAACGGAUCUCUUGGUUCUGGCAUCGAUGAAGAACGCAGCGAAAUGCGAUACGUAGUGUGAAUUGCAGAAUUCAGUGAAUCAUCGAAUCUUUGAACGCACAUUGCGCCCUUUGGUAUUCCAAAGGGCAUGCCUGUUCGAGCGUCAUUUGUACCCUCAAGCUUUGCUUGGUGUUGGGCGUCUUUUUGUCUCUCCCCUUGUUGGGGGAGACUCGCCUUAAAACGAUUGGCAGCCGACCUACUGGUUUUCGGAGCGCAGCACAAAUUUGCGCCUUCCAAUCCACGGGGCGGCAUCCAGCAAGCCUUUGUUUUCUACAACAAAUCCACAUUUUGACCUCGGAUCAGGUAGGGAUACCCGCUGAACUUAAGCAUAUCAAUAA
RNAcentral lists this small RNA (560 nucleotides) under Exserohilum rostratum. RNAcentral's name for it is "eukaryotic LSU rRNA". The stretch from base 175 to 328 matches the Rfam family "5.8S ribosomal RNA". Lineage: Eukaryota; Fungi; Ascomycota; Dothideomycetes; Pleosporales; Pleosporaceae. The record is from RNAcentral.